This 2157-nucleotide unclassified non-coding RNA is filed under the name Acyrthosiphon pisum (pea aphid). RNAcentral's name for it is "adenosine 3'-phospho 5'-phosphosulfate transporter 2, transcript variant X1". The record is from RNAcentral. Lineage: Eukaryota; Metazoa; Arthropoda; Insecta; Hemiptera; Aphididae.
UUUAUGGUUUCUGCCAAGGACUUGUUGCAAAGUCUGGGGAAAAUGCGCAGUGAUAGAAAAAAUUGUAUUUUUGGUACCGACCGCAGAUAUAAAAUAUUUUAAAAAACUGCCAGCAAGACGUCGCCACUGGAUUCUGAGUAUCUACUAUCUGAUGAUCUGAUGUUAUCUGAUUUAAACGCUCGACAUUAGUAUAAUUGAAUGGAAGCCAAAAUUUACAUUAACGAUUCUGGUAAUGCAGAGUUAUUAUCUAAUAAAAAAGAAGAAUCAUCGAGAAAACUCCUAUGGGUUGAUAUCGGUCAUUUUUCUGAAUUAUGGCAAUUUUUAAUUUGUUCAUUUGUAGUGUUCAUUUUUUUUAUCCCGUAUGGAUACCUACAAGAAGCAAUAUUUGCAAUUAAAGGUUUUAAGCCAUUUGGAUGGUAUUUGACUUUGGUGCAGUUUCUUAAUUAUUCAAUAUUUGGAUUAAUAGAGAGUCAAUUCAAUCAUACACAACGAAGGAUACCACUAGUCUUGUAUCUUUUAUUGGGACUGAUAUUAUUAGGUUCAAUGGGGUUUUCAAAUGCCUCACUUGGUUACUUAAAUUACCCGACACAAGUUAUAUUUAAGUGUUGCAAACUGAUACCAGUUAUGAUUGGUGGAAUAUUAGUACAGCAAAAAGUAUAUAAAGUUGUUGAUAUAGUAGCAGCAUCAUGUAUGUGUGCAGGAUUGAUAUUAUUUACUUUAGCUGACAAUAAAGUUUCACCAGAUUUCAAUCUUAUAGGUAUAAUUUUGAUAAGUUCUGCGUUAUUUUGUGAUGCACUUAUAGGUAAUUUUCAAGAAAAAAUGAUGAAAAAACAUAAUGCAUCCAAUGCAGAAAUUGUUUUAUAUUCCUAUUUAAUAGGAUUUGUAUAUUUGUUCUUUAUAUUAUUGGUGAGUGGACAACUAAGAGAUGGGACAGAAUUCUGCAUUCAGAAUCCAGUGACUUAUAUAUACAUAUUUUUCUUUUCACUCUCUGGAUUUUUCGGAGUUCAAGCUGUACUUGCUUUAAUCAGAACUUGUGGGGCUUUAGUUGCUGUAACUGUGACUACGUGUCGGAAAGCUGUAACAAUAGUGAUAUCAUUUUUAUUGUUUUCAAAGCCAUUCACUUUUCAAUAUGUUUGGGCUGGAUCACUUAUUGUAUUAGGAAUUUAUUUAAAUGUUUUAGGAAAAACAAAUCAUUUUGACUUAAAAAUGUUUUUUAUGAACUCGAGUAAAAUAUUUGGAAAUAUAAGAAAACGAAGAAAAUCGCCAAUGAUAGUUUAAUUUCCAAAUCAAUUAGAAUAAUACCAAGUAUUGUUAAUAUUUGUUUUUUUUUUCAUUGAUCAUUAAGCCUGGCAACUUGGGACUUGCCCGAAGAAAAAUGCCGCCCGUGAACUGAGGUUUGAACCAGCGCCGGUGUGCGUCAUAACCGACGCCUUAGUCCGCUCGGCCACUCCGUCCCCUUUACAAUUUUUAUAUUAUAUAAAUGUACAAGUAUCGAUUUGAUAGAAUUUUAAGUAUAAAAACGUUUUUAUUUAUAAUCAGAUCUAUUUAAUUGAUUCAUUGUCUACUUAAUAAAAUUGAUAAUUAUUCUAAUAUGAAUCUAUUUCUAUAAUACAAUGUAUAAUAUAAAAAAUCAGGCUCCUUAUGGUUAUAGAUAAAAUUCUCUUCUACCUAAAAUUUUUACUAUAGGUGGUUAUACUUAAAAUAUUUCAGUAACCCAGGUUAUUGGAAGUACAAAACCUGGUUUAUAUGCCGUAUUUUUGUAAGGUGUUAUUACGCCCUCUUCACUGUUUGAAAAAAAAGUGUUAUAUGUAUGAUAUACACUUACUAUGUACCACUAUAUAUUCAAGAUUUUCAAGGAAGAAAUUUUAGUUCAAGAAGUUACAUGUGCAAUAUACAAGCGAUACGUAUCGGACUCAGACUUCGAUACGAGCCGACAUAGAUUUCAAAGAAUUUUCAUUGGAGUAUGAUGAAUUGAUAUCAAUGGAAAAUAUAUAUGGAUUACGAAAAAUGAACCUUAUUAAACCAAUAUCAACAUUUCCAAAUGUUUGUACAAUGUUGGCGGGAGUGGCAGCUGCUGAACCUCAUAGUGCUGAUGUUGAACGUUUAAUAAGUGCCAGCAACUUAUUAAAAUCACCAUUACGCUCAACUAUGAAUAUU